AUUGACCGCUAGCGGGAUGCCUUACACAUGCCAGUCGAACGGAGUGGCGAAUGGGUGAGUAAUGUAUCGGGACGUGCACAGUAGCGGGGGAUAACUCCGCGAAAGCGUCGCUAAUACCGCAUACUAUUGGAGCGGCCAAUAUCGGAAUAGCUGGGUGGUGGAGUAAGGGCCUAACAAGGCGACGAACCGUAGCUGGUUUGCGAGGACGACCAGCCAGCCGGGGACUGGGACAGGGCCCGUACGCCGCCGGGAGGCAGCAGUGGGGAAUUUUGGACAAUGGGGUAAACCCUGACCCAGCCAUCCCGCGUGUGGCAUGAAGGCCUGCUGGUUGUAAAGCACUUUUGGCAGGAAAGCGGUAUCUGCAGAAUAAGCACCGGCUAACUACGUGCCAGCAGCCGCGGUAAUAC
This 407-nucleotide ribosomal RNA is filed under the name uncultured bacterium. RNAcentral describes it as "partial 16S ribosomal RNA". It matches the Rfam family "Bacterial small subunit ribosomal RNA", at positions 30 to 526 of the family's 1533-position model. The record is from RNAcentral.